This 1340-nucleotide ribosomal RNA is filed under the name Lactobacillus sp. RNAcentral describes it as "bacterial SSU rRNA". It matches the Rfam family "Bacterial small subunit ribosomal RNA", at positions 44 to 1350 of the family's 1533-position model. The record is from RNAcentral. Lineage: Bacteria; Bacillati; Bacillota; Bacilli; Lactobacillales; Lactobacillaceae.
GUGCCUAAUACAUGCAAGUCGAACGAACUCUGGUAUUGAUUGGUGCUUGCAUCAUGAUUUACAUUUGAGUGAGUGGCGAACUGGUGAGUAACACGUGGGAAACCUGCCCAGAAGCGGGGGAUAACACCUGGAAACAGAUGCUAAUACCGCAUAACAACUUGGACCGCAUGGUCCGAGCUUGAAAGAUGGCUUCGGCUAUCACUUUUGGAUGGUCCCGCGGCGUAUUAGCUAGAUGGUGGGGUAACGGCUCACCAUGGCAAUGAUACGUAGCCGACCUGAGAGGGUAAUCGGCCACAUUGGGACUGAGACACGGCCCAAACUCCUACGGGAGGCAGCAGUAGGGAAUCUUCCACAAUGGACGAAAGUCUGAUGGAGCAACGCCGCGUGAGUGAAGAAGGGUUUCGGCUCGUAAAACUCUGUUGUUAAAGAAGAACAUAUCUGAGAGUAACUGUUCAGGUAUUGACGGUAUUUAACCAGAAAGCCACGGCUAACUACGUGCCAGCAGCCGCGGUAAUACGUAGGUGGCAAGCGUUGUCCGGAUUUAUUGGGCGUAAAGCGAGCGCAGGCGGUUUUUUAAGUCUGAUGUGAAAGCCUUCGGCUCAACCGAAGAAGUGCAUCGGAAACUGGGAAACUUGAGUGCAGAAGAGGACAGUGGAACUCCAUGUGUAGCGGUGAAAUGCGUAGAUAUAUGGAAGAACACCAGUGGCGAAGGCGGCUGUCUGGUCUGUAACUGACGCUGAGGCUCGAAAGUAUGGGUAGCAAACAGGAUUAGAUACCCUGGUAGUCCAUACCGUAAACGAUGAAUGCUAAGUGUUGGAGGGUUUCCGCCCUUCAGUGCUGCAGCUAACGCAUUAAGCAUUCCGCCUGGGGAGUACGGCCGCAAGGCUGAAACUCAAAGGAAUUGACGGGGGCCCGCACAAGCGGUGGAGCAUGUGGUUUAAUUCGAAGCUACGCGAAGAACCUUACCAGGUCUUGACAUACUAUGCAAAUCUAAGAGAUUAGACGUUCCCUUCGGGGACAUGGAUACAGGUGGUGCAUGGUUGUCGUCAGCUCGUGUCGUGAGAUGUUGGGUUAAGUCCCGCAACGAGCGCAACCCUUAUUAUCAGUUGCCAGCAUUAAGUUGGGCACUCUGGUGAGACUGCCGGUGACAAACCGGAGGAAGGUGGGGAUGACGUCAAAUCAUCAUGCCCCUUAUGACCUGGGCUACACACGUGCUACAAUGGAUGGUACAACGAGUUGCGAACUCGCGAGAGUAAGCUAAUCUCUUAAAGCCAUUCUCAGUUCGGAUUGUAGGCUGCAACUCGCCUACAUGAAGUCGGAAUCGCUAGUAAUCGCGGAUC